RNAcentral lists this ribosomal RNA (360 nucleotides) under Planococcus citri (citrus mealybug). RNAcentral describes it as "partial 28S ribosomal RNA". Lineage: Eukaryota; Metazoa; Arthropoda; Insecta; Hemiptera; Pseudococcidae. The record is from RNAcentral.
UUUUAGAGAGAGUUCAAGAGUACGUGAAACCGUUCGGGGGUAAACGGACAGAGCCCGUGAAUCCGGGCGGCGGAAUUCAGAAUCGACGGCGUUCGCGCGUCGUCGGUUCGAUAUUUCCGUCGCCGUUCAAUUACGGACGUCGCGACCCGUUCGGUGUCGGUCCGAGGAGACGUGUAAAAGUUCGACGGCGCGUGUCGAGUCGUUUCGGCGGCUAGGCGCGCGUCGUUGAGUCGCGUAUUCUGGCCGACUCGCCGGACGGUACGUGUAACGGUGGCCGCGGCGACCUAGCGUCGUCGUUGGUACCGGUCUGCGACGAAUCUUCGGGCCUCUUUCCGACCCGUCUUGAAACACNNACCAAAA